Monodelphis domestica (gray short-tailed opossum) is the source of this 1806-nucleotide long non-coding RNA. RefSeq lists it as uncharacterized. NCBI's taxonomy places the organism in Eukaryota, Metazoa, Chordata, Mammalia, Didelphimorphia, Didelphidae. The record is from RefSeq and is a predicted model, not a curated record.
GAGAUUUAAAAUGGUUGAGGUCUUAAACUGUAGUGAUUAAAAUAGUGGAAGAUAUAAAUUGUGAUAGAUAUAAGAGAGGGUGAGUAAAUUUGACCACAGAAAUAUGUUUCACUACAGUGUCUUGGGUUUAAAAUCAAAUAUAAGGUGGUCGCCAGGGAAAUAUUCCCAAUUAUUCAAAUACCCAAGUCAAUUGGGUUUUAUAGAGAUUUUAAUUAACAAUACAAUGAGUAAUCAAAGAAAGAGAGAGAGAGUAAGAAAAGAAUAAGUAUGAAGGGCCUCAAGCCAAUAUGGCCUAGACCUGAGUCUUAAAAGAGAAAUCAGUCAGUUUUUUAUAACUCACCAUAAGAUCUGUCUAAGUAAGGAUUUCUAAUGACACCAGGCCAGCAGCAUCUCAGCUGCUUUCACCAGCUCCCUCCUCCAUCUGAAUGUUUCAGAAUCAGUCUCCUCAGAAUGAGUCUCUAUGUUUCAGAAUGACUUUCCAGCUCUUCCCUGAGUUCUUAUUUUUAAGGGCAAAAUCUCCUCUGUCACCUCCCCUAAGUCCUUACAUCUACCAAUCACUGUAGAUGUUUCUAAAGGACCGCCCAUUCUUAGUCCACACCUAAGAAGGUGUGGAUUUUUGAGUAAUUCACACCAGGAAAGCUCUGAGUAAGUUUUCCAGUUCUUUAUUCCUUGUAAAUUCACAAGUUGCUUGACCUUUAUAGGUACUUAGCUUAAGAAAAGUAUGGGUUUAAGUACUUUUCAUUGUUCAGAAAAGAGUUUAUAACUUUAUCUUCCCCUAGGGCAGACCCAAGUAGGUAAAGUAGAAUUCUCACAUUCCUGCUUUAAGUAGAAUUCACUGCCCAAAUGGGGAAUGGUCUUAAUCCAAUCUUAUAAAGUAGGGUCUGGGAAAUUUUAAGGUUUACACUGCCUGGGGAGGUAGAAGGUUCACUUUACCAGAGGGAGGGACUGAAUGAUGCUUCAAGGACUUUGCACAGGGGGAUUUCUAGCUCAGGCCCAGGUUGGCCUCAAUGGUCUUAGAGUCUAUGAUUUUAUGAAAGUCUUUUGUGAACUUUCUGGCUAUAACAAGAACAACUAAUAUUAUGGUAUUCAUUUCAUGGUGCAAGGGACACGGUACUCAGGGGGUGAGGCCCAAGGUCCAGGACUGGAGCUUUGAGGUUCAUCUGGCUCCAGCAGGUUUCCAUAGUGAUGGAAUGGACCACUGGCUACAGGGCAGGUUUAUAGGAUCUUAGCAUUUUAAAUUAGACCUGGCUGAGUGUGGUAAUGCAGGUCUAUAGUCCCUGCCACUGGGAAAGCUGAUGCUAGUGGAUCUCUUGAGUGUGUAGAAGAGGCAUGAAGGAAGAGAGAAUUUUCAUGCAUGCAAGAUAAAAAGCUGGGGACCUGAUCUGCCAAUCAAGGUGAAAAUUCCAAAAUAGAAUGUUCCUAGGAAAGGCCAGUUGGAGCCUGGCCAGAGGAGAUGAACUGAGAGAGUUCUUCUCUGGUGUUUCUGACCAAAGAAGGGACUGGUUUUUCUGACCUAGGCAGAGAGAGACCUUUGUGGUUUUAGACAGUCUGGACUUGAAUUACUCAAGCAAAGAUUAUCUGAUUGGUUUAAAGAAGAAAAGAAUAUUAAACAGUUGUCCUCCACCUCUGACUGUCCCUGAGUCACAAUUGUGACAGGACUGACAUUUCCCAAACUCCUCCUAUCCCUCAUUAUAAAUUAGGGAAACCCUCAUCCCUCUCACCUCAUUUUACUUCAGUUCUCCAUCCAGUUGUUCCCAAUAAACCCCCUUACUUGAGAAAAGAAAAGUAAAGAAUAUUUCUCUGAAA